CAAGUCGCGAGGCUUGGGCGAGAAUAAGGGAUAGCGAAAUCGUAGCCUGACGAACAGAAACCUAAUAAAAAGGCUUGCAUAGCGGGUAAGCGGAUCAAAAGUCGUGAAGCCCAAAAGGCAAACGUAACCUAUGCAAAUAGAUUAGGCAGGUAGACGAGGAAAGACUGAAGACU
Non-coding RNA from Mogibacterium pumilum, 173 nucleotides. The record is from Rfam. NCBI's taxonomy places the organism in Bacteria, Bacillati, Bacillota, Clostridia, Peptostreptococcales, Anaerovoracaceae.